AGUGAAGCGGGAUGAAGCUCAAAUUUAAAAUCUGGCUGGUUUACUAGUCGAAUUGUAGUUUAUAGAAGCGUUUUCGGUGGCAGCCUGGGUAUAAAUCCUUUGGAAUAGGGUAUCAUAGAGGGUGAGAAUCCCGUCUUUGACUCAGUGCAUGCUACUAUGUGAUACGUUUUCAAAGAGUCGAGUUGUUUGGGAAUGCAGCUCAAAAUGGGUGGUAAAUUUCAUCUAAGGCUAAAUAUUGGCGAGAGACCGAUAGCGAACAAGUACCGUGAGGGAAAGAUGAAAAGAACUUUGAAAAGAGAGUUAAACAGUGCGUGAAAUUGUUGAAAGGGAAACGUUUGACACCAGUUAUGCGGGUGGAAAAUCAGUCUUUUGCAGUGGGGAGUUGUGGGCGUUCAGACCGCAAGGCUGGCGUUUGCUUCAUCUUUGCUGUAAGUGAUGCACUUUUUCAUUUGCAGGUCAACAUCAGUUUGCUUUGCUGGACAAAACCCCAAGGGAAGGUGGCAGCUUAGGCUGUGUUAUAGCCCUGGGGCGAUACAGUGGAGUGGACUGAGGUUUUCGCAGUGUGUGCUCUCGGGCAAGGCUGACUGGGUGCUAUGGGAUCGUUCGGUGUACAAUGCAUGCAUUUUGCGCCGUGUCUUUUUCAUACUCGCUCAACUCGGCUCUUCCACACUUAGGAUGUUGACUUAAUGGUUUUAAACGACC
RNAcentral lists this ribosomal RNA (702 nucleotides) under Mortierella bainieri. RNAcentral describes it as "eukaryotic LSU rRNA". It matches the Rfam family "Eukaryotic large subunit ribosomal RNA", at positions 92 to 649 of the family's 3401-position model. The record is from RNAcentral. Lineage: Eukaryota; Fungi; Mortierellomycota; Mortierellomycetes; Mortierellales; Mortierellaceae.